GGAGCCAUGCACAGUACAAUGCCCGCAGGGAGAAAGGGGACCGAAAGGUGAUCCGGGAGCCACUGGGCGUCAAGGAUUGCAGGGAACUCCAGGAGAGCCAGGUCGGAGUGGGUCCCCCGGCCCUCAAGGUCCCGUUGGGCCCCGUGGACCACCGGGUGAGGGGACAGCAACAAGAGCAGAGAAAGGAGACACUGGUGAGCCGGGGGCAGACGGGCUCCCAGGAACACCGGGACGUCCCGGAAAUCCUGGCACGGCAGGCACACUGGGGGCUAAAGGAGAUAAAGGAGAA
Nanorana parkeri is the source of this 289-nucleotide long non-coding RNA. RefSeq lists it as uncharacterized. The transcript has 6 exons. The record is from RefSeq and is a predicted model, not a curated record. Lineage: Eukaryota; Metazoa; Chordata; Amphibia; Anura; Dicroglossidae.